This 1065-nucleotide ribosomal RNA is filed under the name Halichondria loma. RNAcentral describes it as "partial large subunit ribosomal RNA". It matches the Rfam family "Eukaryotic large subunit ribosomal RNA", at positions 382 to 1270 of the family's 3401-position model. The record is from RNAcentral. Lineage: Eukaryota; Metazoa; Porifera; Demospongiae; Suberitida; Halichondriidae.
AGAGAGUCAAAAAGACCGCGAAACCGUUAGGAGGGAAGCGAAUGCAGCUGAAUUAGCUCCGCUCAAGUUCAGGAGCGACGUCGAGCAGUGAUGCCGGCCCGCAAGAGCCGAUAGGCUUUGCUCUCCGGAUAGCUGUCGACUCCUCUGCACUCUUGUGCGAGCUGGCCAACAACAGUUGCCUGCGGCUGACAAGGGGGGACGGGCAGGUGCUCACUCUUCGGAGUGAUACUUACAGCCGUUCGUUUGGAAGUCCGCAGGUGACUGAGGAUAACUGGCAGUGCAGGCCUCCGGGUCUUGGGCUGCUCCUGGUCGUUUGGGCACCGCGUCAGGGUCUGCGUGCAGUGUCUGUCGACGGAUGACCUCUCGGGCGGGAGACCAGUCACACCUUGCGCUGCAGUUGUUGGUGAUCGAAUGGCCGCAUCCGACCCGUCUUGAAACACGGACCAAGGAGUGCAACANGNNUGCGAGUCUUUGGGUGGCAAACCCAGCGGCACAAUGAAAGUGAAGGCAGGCGGUGGUCUGCUUAGGCGAGAGUCUCCUCGUGGGACGCAUCGUCGACCGAUCCCAGGUCACGCUGUGGCGGGAUUUGAGUGAGAGCGUGCCUGUUGCGACCCGAAAGAUGGUGAACUAUGCCUGAAUAGGGUGAAGCCAGAGGAAACUCUGGUGGAAGCUCGUAGCGAUUCUGACGUGCAAAUCGAUCGUCAAAUUUGGGUAUAGGGGCGAAAGACUAAUCGAACCAUCUAGUAGCUGGUUCCCUCCGNAGUUUCCCUCAGGAUAGNUGGAGCCCGGNGCAGUUUUUUCAGGUAAAGNGACUGAUUAGAGGUCUUGGGGUUGAAACAACCUCAACCUAUUCUCAAACUUUAAAUGGGUAAGAAGCUCGGCUUGCUUAAUUGAAGUCGGGCAUCGAAUGCCGGGGUUCCUAGUGGGCCAUUUUUGGUAAGCAGAACUGGCGAUGUGGGAUGAACCAAAUGCCGGGUUAAGGUGCCCGAAUCGACGCUCAUCAGAUACCAUGAAAGGUGUUGGUUGAUCUAGACAGCAGGACGGUGGCCAUGGAAGUCGAAUCCG